Molecule: long non-coding RNA, 1543 nt
Organism: Oxyura jamaicensis (ruddy duck)
Lineage: Eukaryota; Metazoa; Chordata; Aves; Anseriformes; Anatidae
Exons: 2
Source: RefSeq, a predicted model, not a curated record
CCCGAGAUGGUGGCCUUCCUGAUCCCAUGGCAGUGGGGAGGAUGAACAGCAAGCUCACAAACCUGGAUGUGGGGAGAGGAGAACCUGACCUCUUCAAACAGCUGCUUAGUACAGUGCCGUGGGACAAGGCUCUGGAUGGAAGGGGGGCCCGAGAAAGCUGGUCAGUACGGAAGGAUCACCUCCUCCAGUGAUCCUAACGAAGAGGAGGGCAGGCAGAAGUGCCGGGAGGCCUGUGUGGAUGAACAAGGAGUUACUGGCAGAGCUCAAAACAAAAAGGAAGGGUGGAAGCAAGGGUGGAAGCAGAGGGUGGAAGCAAGGAUGGAUAAUCUGGGAGAAACACAGGUAGUCUGAGCAUCCAGGCAUGAAGUUAGGAAAGGUAAAGUCCAAAUGGAAUUGAAUAUGGCCAGGGAUGUCAACGGAAACAAGAAGAGCUUCUGUAAUUACAUCAGCAGCAGAAGGAAGACUGUGGAAAAUGUGAGCACAAUGCUGAAUAAAACAGGAGACCUCAUUACAUGGGAUGGUGAAAAGAGCCUCCAGAAAUAUAUUCGUCAUUUCGGCCUUAAAGGGACCGGCCGAGCUUUUUCCCGGAUCACGUGGCGCUGAGCAAAGCCUCGCUGAGAAAUCCAGGUCCCGGCAAGGAGAGCGAUGGCUGGGCUGCUCUAACCCACUGGUUAAUGCUUGCGAAGGGCCCCAGGGGCUUGCAGACCUGCCAAGCCGCUCCGCAUUACGAAUCUGAACUGGAUGCGUCCUCCCCAAAUGUUUUCCGAGGCGAUGAGCUCAGACGGAGGACUGGGGCUUUGCACAGCUGAGCGCCGACCACCGUUGCUCUCGUCCUCCGCUGGCCUCUGAGCCUUUGCCCCUCAGCUGGGCUCUGUGCAACAGAAGCCAAAUGUUUAGGUCUCGCACAUGGGGAAAUGGUGUAACUCUUUGUCUGGGUCCCCAGCCCCUCUGGUCUGCUCCUGCUUUCCAAGGCAUGGGGCAUCCCGAUGGCGUAUCCCAGCCCUCCUCCAGCCUGGGUCCUGCUUGUCUCAUCCCAGCCAAGAAAUGGCAUUGGUGACAUAUCCCAAGUCACAGUGAAGCAAGACUGAUAAGUCAUUGCCAUAGGGAAUAAGGAUCCUUGGGGAUAACACAGAAGGGAGGAAAAUGGCAAAAAAAAAAAAAAAAAAAAAAAAAAAGUAUAGGAUAAAUGCAAAUUACUUGGACAAUGGAAGAGUGAGGUCUGUGGAGCAGUGUUAGCUGCAAAUCAGCCCUUAUAGCUACUUGGAGCAAUGCAACACUGUCCUCCUGCCCAGCUCCCAGCUUUGCACUGGUUUGCUACCUGGUGGCUGUGCCUGGAGCUUGGCCCUUGCAUCCAAACACGUCAGCACCUGCAGACACCUCCCUGUCUCAGAGACGUCCUUCCUCAUCCCUGUCUCCAGCGGCUCAUGUCCUCCGUCGGAGAUCUAGCUGCGCCCUUCCCUCAGAGAGGCUUCACUGCUGUUGAGCGCAAGCCCACAUCUGCAGCCUUACACUGCAAAAAGCCCCCAAACCCAUCCCCUGCCGU